This is a long non-coding RNA of Canis lupus familiaris (dog), 1599 nucleotides long. RefSeq lists it as uncharacterized. The transcript has 3 exons. Lineage: Eukaryota; Metazoa; Chordata; Mammalia; Carnivora; Canidae. The record is from RefSeq and is a predicted model, not a curated record.
CCUCUCCUGCCAUUGGAGGUUACAGCCAGGAGAUGCUGUCUAUGGACCAGAAAGCAGGAUUCAUGAGCUACUCAAUCUGUUGGCACCUUCAUCUUGGACUUCUCGGCCUCCAGAACUCUGAGAAAUACAUCCCUAUUAUUCAUAAGCCACCCAGUCUAGGGUAUUUUUGUUACAGCAGACCAGACAGACUAAGACAUCCCUCCCGAGGGACCACUUUGAGCCAGCCUCACUAAACCCAGUGAUCAGAAUUUUAAAAGGAUGCUACCUCCCUCAACCUCCCGUUCUGCUCCAGGCUUGAGGGGCUGGCCUCUUCCCUGUGAUCUCACACCUGCCAGGCCGGGGCAGCCACCAGAGGGUGCUUGCUUGGAGACUGCUUGUGUUCGCAUAGUUCUGGAAAGAGGAUCCACCUCCUGUACUGCCAAGGGAAGUUGUCCCCAGACUUUCCCAGCUGCUGCUGCUCAUCCUAAAGCAUGUACCAGAAAUAAACAUCUCCCAGGCAAUUUGCAGCUGGGGGCAGAGGCUAAGUGGUGGUGGUUGCGGAAUUGGGGAGAGGUACAAGGAGUGUAGAUGUUUUAGUUGACAUUUGGGUAGCAAAUGCUUCUGUGAGCCGCCACCCCUUUUUUUAUCCUCUGCUGAGCAUUAGUGAGAAAAAUGUGGGAGAAAAAGCGGGGUGUAAGGCCUCUUAACUCCACCUCCCUCCGUGUAAGCCAAAAGUUAAGCAUCCUGUGGAGGAUUAUUGCAAGGAAAGGGACUCUAAGCUUCCUUCGUGUUUGCAGAGCUUCAGACAGGUUCUGUGAAUGGCUGGGGACCCUGACAUUGCUGAUGAGGCUGUAGGGGAUAGGGAGCAUAGUGGUUACACGUGUGUGCUCUGGGCCCAGAGAGACCCGGGUUAGAAUCCCAGCCUGGCUCUGCAUCAGCUGGGUGACCUGCCACUUACAACCAUUUCACUGUCUAUAAAGUGGAGAUGAUAAAACAAACUCCAAUAAACCACUUAACAAGUGCCAGACACAGUUCUCAGCACUUACAGAUGAGAAAACUGAGACACAAAGGGGAGCCAUCACCUGCUCAAGGACACUCAGCUGGUGAGUGGUGGAGGCUGGAGAUGGCCGUAGGCUAUCUGGCUGGACCACUCUGCCUCUUGGGUUGCCGUGAGGCAUGGAUGAAACGCAGCCUAUAAAGGGUUUGGCACAGUGCCUGCCACAUGGCAAGCUCUCAAUAAAUGUUAGUUUUUAUUAUUAACAACAUAUGAAACAGCGUAAAACAGACUAGUCAAGCUAUCCGCACCAUUUGAGGUUCUUAACAAUGCCUGACAUUUGUUUAGCCUCAUAUAUAAUUGAAAAGGCUUCUCCGAUUUGGUCUCCGAGAACUCUCCUUGAAGUCCUGCGAGGGCAGUGAGGCAGUUUCGAGCGGGCAUGAUCACUGGAUGAACAAGGACAUGGAGGCCCAAGGAAACAUCAUUAUUUUAAACUCUGGGUCUAAUCGAUUGGAGUCAUUAUGAUCUGCUUCUAUUGCAUGUUAUUUCUCCUGAUCUUCAUAUAUGAUGCCUUAUCUCCUUAUGGGUCUGGCUGUCUUUGUGCAUAAAUCAUAAAAAUAAAUUGA